RNAcentral lists this ribosomal RNA (440 nucleotides) under uncultured bacterium. RNAcentral's name for it is "partial 16S ribosomal RNA". It matches the Rfam family "Bacterial small subunit ribosomal RNA", at positions 338 to 795 of the family's 1533-position model. The record is from RNAcentral.
CCUACGGGAGGCUGCAGUGAGGAAUAUUGGGCAAUGGAGGCAACUCUGACCCAGCCAUGCCGCGUGAGUGAAGAAGGUUUUCGGAUUGUAAAGCUCUUUCGGAAGUGACGAUGAUGACGGUAGCAUCUAAAGUAGCCCCGGCUAACUUCGUGCCAGCAGCCGCGGUAAUACGUAGGGGGCAAGCGUUGUUCGGAAUUACUGGGCGUAAAGGGUGUGUAGGCGGUUUAGUUAGAUAGUGGUGAAAUCCCAGAGCUUAACUUUGGAAUUGCCAUUAUAACUUUCAGACUAGAGUUACAGAGAGGAUAGUGGAAUACCCAGUGUAGAGGUGAAAUGCGUAGAUAUUGGGUAGAACACCAGUGGCGAAGGCGACUAUCUGGCUGUACAUUGACGCUGAGGCUCGAAAGCAUGGGGAUCAAACAGGAUUAGAUACCCGAGUAGUC